AUACCAUGGUGAGGGCAUUGACGAAUGAGCUCAUUGAACCUCUCCCAUGACUCUUGAAGAGUUUCAUCGGCCUUCUCUUUAAACGUCAUCAUCUUAGAACGGCCGUC
Molecule: non-coding RNA, 107 nt
Organism: Spinacia oleracea (spinach)
Lineage: Eukaryota; Viridiplantae; Streptophyta; Magnoliopsida; Caryophyllales; Amaranthaceae
Source: Rfam